GAUGAACGCUGGCGGCGUGCCUAAUACAUGCAAGUCGAGCGAACAGACGAGGAGCUUGCUCCUCUGACGUUAGCGGCGGACGGGUGAGUAACACGUGGAUAACCUACCUAUAAGACUGGGAUAACUUCGGGAAACCGGAGCUAAUACCGGAUAAUAUAUUGAACCGCAUGGUUCAAUAGUGAAAGACGGUUUUGCUGUCACUUAUAGAUGGAUCCGCGCCGCAUUAGCUAGUUGGUAAGGUAACGGCUUACCAAGGCAAGGAUGCGUAGCCGACCUGAGAGGGUGAUCGGCCACACUGGAACUGAGACACGGUCCAGACUCCUACGGGAGGCAGCAGUAGGGAAUCUUCCGCAAUGGGCGAAAGCCUGACGGAGCAACGCCGCGUGAGUGAUGAAGGUCUUCGGAUCGUAAAGCUCUGUUAUUAGGGAAGAACAAAUGUGUAAGUACCUAUGCACGUCUUGACGGUACCUAAUCAGAAAGCCACGGCUAACUACGUG
RNAcentral lists this ribosomal RNA (497 nucleotides) under uncultured bacterium. RNAcentral describes it as "partial 16S ribosomal RNA". It matches the Rfam family "Bacterial small subunit ribosomal RNA", at positions 28 to 507 of the family's 1533-position model. The record is from RNAcentral.